This 395-nucleotide ribosomal RNA is filed under the name uncultured Glomeromycotina. RNAcentral describes it as "SSU rRNA". It matches the Rfam family "Eukaryotic small subunit ribosomal RNA", at positions 569 to 970 of the family's 1831-position model. The record is from RNAcentral. Lineage: Eukaryota; Fungi; Glomeromycota.
AGCAGCCGCGGUAAUUCCAGCUCCAAUAGCGUAUAUUAAAGUUGUUGCAGUUAAAAAGCUCGUAGUUGAACUUCGGGAUCAAGGGAUCGGUCAUGCCUUGGUAUGUACUGGUCUUAUUGGUUCUCACCUUCUAAAGAACCAUAAUGUCAUUCAUUUGAUGUUAUGGGGAAUUAGGACUGUUACCUUGAAAAAUUAGAGUGUUUAAAGCAGGCUUACGCUUGAAUACAUUAGCAUGGAAUAAUGAAAUAGGACAUCCGAUUCUAUUUUGUUGGUUUCUAGGAUCGAUGUAAUGAUUAAUAGGGAUAGUUGGGGGCAUUAGUAUUCAAUUGUCAGAGGUGAAAUUCUUGGAUUUAUUGAAGACUAACUACUGCGAAAGCAUUUGCCAAGGAUGUUUU